UAUUAAAAAUUUCAUUAAUUUGUACUGUUAAAAAUUGAUGUGAUUAACCGAAUAACCAGAUAGUGACAUAUGGUGUGCCAUAUAGAUGUCAUUUUAACGUACAUAGUCCAAUUUUUAACAAUAGAAAUGGAUAGAAUUUUUAACA
Gossypium arboreum is the source of this 145-nucleotide non-coding RNA. Lineage: Eukaryota; Viridiplantae; Streptophyta; Magnoliopsida; Malvales; Malvaceae. The record is from Rfam.